This is a long non-coding RNA of Lolium rigidum, 542 nucleotides long. RefSeq lists it as uncharacterized. Lineage: Eukaryota; Viridiplantae; Streptophyta; Magnoliopsida; Poales; Poaceae. The transcript has 3 exons. The record is from RefSeq and is a predicted model, not a curated record.
UCCUUCCUUGCUGUCAUAUGGGCCCUACUGCCACAUCAUCGUCAUCAAUCUUCAGCCACGAACGGACACAACUAUGACGGCCUACGUUUUCAGUUUCUGUGUGUUUACUCGUCAAUUGAUUCCGGGCGUUUUAAGCCACCAUUUAACGAGCCGUUUGUUCCUACUUAAGCUCCACAUCCUCCUCUUCAUUUUCCCCCAAAACGCCACAUCCCGAGAGCCCCCAGGCUGCUCGAAUUUGUCCUCACAUGUCCGCAGUACCGUCGCGGUAAAUCGUCGAUUGCGCGACGGCGCCAUCUUCGUUUGUGAGCACGUCCGCGGGACAAUUUUCCGGCGAGCGAUUUCCGGCGAACUACUGUACCUCGACGUGCGCGACUUCGCCAUCGAGUUCCCCUUGCGAAGACGAGCUCCGUUGUCUGCUACGCCAUCGCCAACAAGCACGGGAACAUCAACCGCAGCGACCACGACCAUAUGUUCCAGUGACCUGUGUUUUCCCUACAUUGUGAUUGUGUUGAUUGCAACGAGUGUUUCUGCGAAGAGUGUAC